RNAcentral lists this ribosomal RNA (251 nucleotides) under uncultured bacterium. RNAcentral describes it as "partial 16S ribosomal RNA". It matches the Rfam family "Bacterial small subunit ribosomal RNA", at positions 524 to 774 of the family's 1533-position model. The record is from RNAcentral.
UACGUAGGGGGCAAGCGUUGUCCGGAAUUAUUGGGCGUAAAGAGCGCGUAGGCGGUCCGAUAAGUCGGCUGUGAAAGUCAGGGGCUCAACCCUUGAAAGCCGGCCGAUACUGUCGGACUAGAGUCCGGAAGAGGCAAGUGGAAUUCCCGGUGUAGCGGUGAAAUGCGCAGAUAUCGGGAGGAACACCAAUGGCGAAGGCAGCUUGCUGGGACGGUACUGACGCUGAGGCGCGAAAGCGUGGGGAGCAAACA